GCAGUUUAUUAGGGAUAAGUACAGAUUAGAGAGGGAUUCUAAACACAAGCGUCAAGAAAGAAAGAUCAGGUGAAUAUUGACCAAAAUCGUCCAAACAUAAAUAUACACCCAAGAAGCAUAUGCUUUAAGCUUGGUGCUUGUGCUUUAAGAGCCGUGAAUGAGAUCACCGGGCAAAGCAAGCAAAAGCUUUAUCAGGGACCAAAAUAGAGACAAGAUGGAGUGUCAACAAUUAGGCCCCAUCUCCAACUGAACCACAAGGAAGAUGCAACUCUGGAUCUGACCCAACGAAAGAUCAUAACUUUGAGAUCACCAGAAGAAAGAGAAGGGAAGCAGUUGGCUUAGCUUAUCGAGAAAUUGGGAAGUGG
Molecule: unclassified non-coding RNA, 365 nt
Filed under: Hevea brasiliensis (rubber tree)
Lineage: Eukaryota; Viridiplantae; Streptophyta; Magnoliopsida; Malpighiales; Euphorbiaceae
Source: RNAcentral